RNAcentral lists this ribosomal RNA (497 nucleotides) under uncultured bacterium. RNAcentral describes it as "partial 16S ribosomal RNA". It matches the Rfam family "Bacterial small subunit ribosomal RNA", at positions 28 to 507 of the family's 1533-position model. The record is from RNAcentral.
GAUGAACGCUGGCGGCGUGCCUAAUACAUGCAAGUCGAGCGAACAGAUGAGGAGCUUGCUCCUCUGACGUUAGCGGCGGACGGGUGAGUAACACGUGGAUAACCUACCUAUAAGACUGGGAUAACUUCGGGAAACCGGAGCUAAUACCGGAUAAUAUAUUGAACCGCAUGGUUCAAUAGUGAAAGACGGUUUUGCUGUCACUUAUAGAUUGAUCCGCGCCGCAUUAGCUAGUUGGUAAGGUAACGGCUUACCAAGGCAACGAUGCGUAGCCGACCUGAGAGGGUGAUCGGCCACACUGGAACUGAGACACGGUCCAGACUCCUACGGGAGGCAGCAGUAGGGAAUCUUCCGCAAUGGGCGAAAGCCUGACGGAGCAACGCCGCGUGAGUGAUGAAGGUCUUCGGAUCGUAAAACUCUGUUAUUAGGGAAGAACAAAUGUGUAAGUAAAUAUGCACGUCUUGACGGUACCUAAUCAGAAAGCCACGGCUAACUACGUG